Molecule: unclassified non-coding RNA, 338 nt
Filed under: soil metagenome
Description: partial contains 5.8S ribosomal RNA, internal transcribed spacer 2, and large subunit ribosomal RNA
Rfam family: 5.8S ribosomal RNA (bases 1-121)
Source: RNAcentral
GAUGAAGAACGGCAGCGAAAUGCGAUAAGUAGUGUGAAUUGCAGAAUUCAGUGAAUCAUCGAAUCUUUGAACGCACAUUGCGCCCCUUGGUAUUCCAUGGGGCAUGCCUGUUCGAGCGUCAUUUGUACCUUCAAGCUCUGCUUGGUGUUGGGUGUUUGUCUCGCCUCUGCGUGUAGACUCGCCUCAAAACAAUUGGCAGCCGGCGUAUUGAUUUCGGAGCGCAGUACAUCUCGCGCUUUGCACUCAUAACGACGACGUCCAAAAGUACAUUUUUACACUCUUGACCUCGGAUCAGGUAGGGAUACCCGCUGAACUUAAGCAUAUCAAUAAGCGGAGGA